This 253-nucleotide ribosomal RNA is filed under the name uncultured bacterium. Its description in RNAcentral is "partial 16S ribosomal RNA". It matches the Rfam family "Bacterial small subunit ribosomal RNA", at positions 524 to 776 of the family's 1533-position model. The record is from RNAcentral.
UACGUAGGGUGCGAGCGUUGUCCGGAUUUAUUGGGCGUAAAGGGCUCGUAGGCGGCGUGUCGCGUCGGGAGUGAAAGCCCGUUGCUUAACGGCGGGUUGGCUUUCGGUACGGGCAUGCUGGAGUGCGGCAGGGGAGACUGGAAUUCCUGGUGUAGCGGUGAAAUGCGCAGAUAUCAGGAGGAACACCAAUGGCGAAGGCAGCUCGCUGGGACGUGACUGACGCUGAGACGCGAAAGCGUGGGGAGCAAACAGG